Long non-coding RNA from Dermochelys coriacea (leatherback sea turtle), 1850 nucleotides. RefSeq lists it as uncharacterized. The transcript is spliced from 3 exons. The record is from RefSeq and is a predicted model, not a curated record. Lineage: Eukaryota; Metazoa; Chordata; Testudines; Dermochelyidae.
UGAGCCCCUUUUGCCAGGGCGGAUCUUAAAUAUAUUAUUGCCUUUGGUGAGCGAUAUUUUUCCCUCUCUUCCCAAUAAUUUGUACUCAAAAAAGCAGAUAUUCUCUCUCACAAGAACUGAUCAUCUAGCCGGCCCCAUCUCUUCCUGCACCCCACUCUGUGAUGCUGGGCUCCUGGAAAAUACAGGGUUAGAGGGAACUCUACCGAAUCAUGGUGGCCAAUUUAUGUGCCUUUUGUAGUAGAUAAUCGUAUCAUGAAGAUCUGCACUGUCCUUGCUUUCCCUGUGGGCUUUGAUUCUCAGCUGAAAUAGUUAUGCUCAAAUAAAGUUGUUAGUCUCUAAGGUGCCACAAGUACUCCCUUUUCUUUUUGCGAAUACAGACUAACAUGGCUGCUACUCUGAAACCAUAGUUAACAGUGUGGCCAUUUAAUGUGUCGACCUCGGAGUCUGAGGUCAACUUGCCAUUUGGGAUGAAUAGAGCAGUUCAUGCAUCUCGGAGUUCCUGUGUCGGGCUGGGCAUGGGCACUGAUAAUGGCACCUGUUUAAAUUUCUUUCACCUUUUUUUUUUGCCAUCGUUGUUCCAGGGGCUGGUGACCUUUGAGGAGGUGGCUGUGUACUUCACUGAGGGGCAGGGGGCUCUGCUGGACCCCAGACAGAGAGCCCUCUACAGGGAUGUCAUGCAGGAGAAUUACGAGACAGUGACCUCACUAUGGUGUCUGAUUUCUAAGCCCCACAUGAUCUCCCAGCUGGAGCGAGGGGAAGACCCAUGAAUCCCAUGCCUCCAGAGCUCAGAGAAAAGGGAGAGUCCAGGGGUACCUGCACAGGGAAUGACUUGCAUUUGGGGUUUCUCUCUAUCCCAGCAAGUGACUUGAUGGUGGUUGAGAACAAGGAGGAGAAUUCUCAGUAGGACGGCUCUGAGCCAGCAGAGCCUCAUGGGACAGUGUCAAUAAAAUCCGAGGGGAAUGUGUCCCUAAGCCUGGAAUGGGGGGAAUUGCAUGGGGUGCCAUCAGUAAAAACCAAAGGGAACUUUUCACAGAGUUGUGAGCAGGGAGAUGUCUGUGAACCUCCGUGUGGAUCAGAGAGGCUGCAAGAACACCAGCUGGGAAUGAGUCAGGCUAAACCCACUCAUGACGUGGGAGGUUUGGAGGAACUCAACAAAAGCGUAACCCAGCUGAGCAGCCUGAUGGGGGAGAGACCCCACAGGUGCGCUGAGUGUGGGAAAAGCUUUAGUUGCAACUCGCGCCUUAUCCGGCACUGGAGGAUGCACACGGGGGGGAAAAACCCUAUAGCUGCACUGACUGCGGGUUUAGCUUCAGCCACAGUUCCUCUCUCAUCCGGCACCAGAGAACCCACGCGGGCGAGAGGCCUUACAAGUGCCCUGACGGCGAGAAAAGUUUCUGCAGCAGCUCGGCGCUCGCCAGCCAGCACAGGCUGCACACGGGAGAGAAACCCGAUGCCCGCUCCGCCUGCGGGAAGAGCUUUAGCUGCAGCUCGUCCCUCGUGACACAUCGGCGAGUCCACACGGGCGAGAGACCCUAUCCCUGCCUGGGCUGCGGGAAGAGCUUCUGACAGAGAUCCAACCUGGUUGUGCAUCAGAUACUCCACUGUGUGAAUAGACUUUACAAAUAAGCAAAUGCCCGUCCCAUCCCCAGAGCAUUUGCAGUUCUCAGGAAUGCCAGGGGGCAUUCGGUCACUGGCAGCCUGUCUCUGGGGUCAGGAGACAGCAGUAGCCUACUCCAGCCCGAUCGGUACGCUCUCUGGCUCGGCAGGUGGAGGAGGAGAGACUCCGGUCGGCUCCGCCUUCCUGCUGCAGCCCCAGCUAAGUCCUUUGCUUCAUGGCAGGCGAGGAAAGA